UGAAAUUUGUUUUUCGAAUUUUUUUUAUUUUUUUUCAAAUUUCUUUUUGAAAAACGAAAAUUAUGUUAACCCUAAGGGUAUAAUUGUCUCUUACCCUUCAUUAAAAGUGAGAGUAAAAAUAGUUAGUGUAAACAUGAAAAGUGGUAUUAUGAAUGUGCUAUUUGUGGCAAUUUCCCUACUUAAAAAUAUAUGUAUUUAUUUUAAUAUUGUAUAUUCUAUUAUAUUUGGACACCAAACAAAACCAUGUUAUCUGAAUAACUAAUUAUAAUUUUUAAUAUAAGAUUUGUUGAUUAAUUUUCGGUAUACGAAUUUACAUUGACUUUAUUUUAUAAGUUAUUUCUUAUUCUUAUAGUAACAAUUUUACUAUAUUUUGUUAUUGAAUUUAAUAAGUUAUAUUUAAAUUUGUUAAAAUUUAUUUUUGCAUGCAUAUUAAACUUAUUUGCUGUUCGUACGGAUGGAAGAUGACCUAUCAAAGAAGGAUGUCGACAUGUAUGUCCGUCAAAAAUAUACUAUUUUAUUAAUUUAAGUAGUGGGUUUUGAUCCAAAAAAAGUUGUGGGUUAAUUUGUCUGUAAGUUUUUUUUUUUGGAGGGAUUUUUGCUUAGAGAAAAUUUCAUAAAAUACCCAACUAAAUUAUAUUAAUUUUUUUAAUAUCCAAACUUUUAUCUACCUAAUUUAAAACACUAACUAAUUAUUUUUCUCGUUUUAAUUCAUAAAUUUUUAAUAUUGCGCAAAUUCUAAUACCCAAGGUGUAUUUAUAUUAAUCAAAAUAUUUAAUAAAUUUCAUUUGAAAUUUAGGAAAACUCUAAAAAACCCUAUUUUUUAUUUUUUUAUUUUUUUUAUUUUUUUAUUUUUUUUAUUUUAAGGUUUAAAAAGAAAACUAACUAAAUUAUGGACAAGCUGAAAUUGUGAUAAAAGUUCUAAAUUUUAAAUAACAAAUGUAAUUUUUUUUUUGGAAAUAUAAAACAAAUUUAUUUAUUUUCUUUCAAUCUUAAGUUUUUAUAAAUUAUAAGUUUUUAUAACACAUCAUUUUACCUUUUUGAACAUACUUCUUAUUCAUUAAAUAUUUAAACCAUAUAUUUUAAUAAAAUAAUUAAUGGUCCACAAACAUUUUAAUAAUCAGUGACAUUGAAAGAAACGAAAAUAUUCACAUCAACAUAGAAAAAUAGAAGUUAUGCGCAAAUAAAUUUCUUCAUGCUUAAUAACUGACCCAAAAUUUGAUAUGGGAAGUGCUACCAUUGAGGAUAUGGAAGAGCUCGGGAAAAUGUGAGUUGGUGAAUUUUGUUCUCUGCUGAUCUCUUGUUUCUUCUUCUUAUGUAUUGGUUUAUUCUGUACAACUUGAAUCUGUGCAUCAGCUCUCCUUUGCGUAGUGUUCAUCACUGGCUCCAGACCAAUCUUAAGCAUCUCAUUCUAAACGCCAAGCAGGUCGUUUGGGAUGUUAUGUCGUGGAGAAGAAAUUUAAACUUGUCAUCAUCCUCGACCUGAGGUUUGAAUUUGUUAGGGUACACAAUAUUCCCUUGUACAAUAUUCCCUUGUGAAUCAGCGCCUCAUAGGAACCAUAUCUGUGUUUAAACUCCCAGAGCAUGCACAAUACAAACACAAUCAAGAACAAAUCGACAUAAACACACAACUGGAGAUCAUUUCUUGUCCGAGCAAUUGUUUGAUGCAUUGCUUGAACAGUCCGAAUCAUAUAUGUAGGAUCUAAAAGCAAGAAAAAAAUAAAUGAGUUUAAAAUAUCCAAAUAGUUUAAAAGUGGGGAGAAAGGGUCAUUGUUUUUUGUUACCUAUGUAUUUGAGAUUCAUCACCAUGCUAAUUUUCUUAAACUCACCUAUUUAUAGCUGCAGAUUCAGAGAACCAAAGAGAUUAGAGAUGUAUUGAAUGAUAAAUUCUGAAACGAUAAGAAGGAAUAUGUAACGACGCAAUCGAAUAUUAAUACAGAGAUUCUUCAGGACGAUUCAACUCAAUCAUUCGCUGCAGACAUAUUAGGGUUCGCGGAACUCAGUCUCAUCGGGCCGGAUACUUUUUAAAUCUCACAGCCCAAUAACACGUAAAAGAACUAAGUCCAGACGGUGAUGUUUAAUGAAACGCUGAGUUUAGUCCGUAUGGGACAGGUGUCGGAUCGAGAUCGAUCUACUUAUCUAGCUGUCUGCCUACGUGUCCUCAUGAGAAGAGAUUAAACUGUCUUUUAUAUAUAUAUAUACUAGGGCAGACGGGAUGAUAAUCUGAAAAUAAUAUAAAUUGUUAGAGUAAAUAUUUUUGAUUUUUGUCUAAUAUUUGUUUUAUUUUAAAAUUCUUUGUUUUAUAUUAAUAUGAUUCAUUAUUUUAUUGAUUGUUAUUCUUUAUUUAGUUUCAUUUUCAUUACAAUUAACUUAAUUUUUUCUUAGGAUUAAUAAGAUUGUUUAUUUGAAGUUUUAUUUUGUUUUUAUUUCAAUGGUGUACAAUUGUUGAUUUAUUCAUUCUCUUACAUUAUUUUAUAUUGUGUCUUUUAUUCGACUAUAUAAAUAUAUAUUUUAUUUUUAUGUAGUUGUGGAUGUAUGUUUAUAUUAUUAUUUUUGUCUAUUAGAGUGUUGAUCGUAGGAAGAGAAUGUUAUGGGUUGGUCCUUACAUUUGCGAUGUAUACUUUUUACCUAUCGAUAUGAUGGGUGUACAAUCUAUUUCUAUUUUUUUAAAUGUUUGUACACAUCUUAGAAUAAUUUAUAGUAUAAAAUAAGUCGUAUGUGGACGAAAUAUAAAAAUGUAAACAGAGUGAAGAGUCUCAAAAUAAUAGUGACUGUAGUUUUGCAACUGAUGUUGUUGCCGAAGCAUUAGAGUGGAUGAUAAGUAGUGGGAUGCUACCUAUGUGUCUUCGUGAACCUGUAUCCAAGACAUCCAAGCAUUAGAGCCGGUUGCUUUCACUGCAAGUAAUGAGAUGUUUCAAGUACCAGUGCCAAGUAAUGGGUGUUGUCAGUUCCUGUUAACGAAAUCAAGUUGAUAUGGAUAUAUUAUCUAAACGUGUAGAUCUAACCUGAGUUGUUUGAACAUCCUUGAAGAUUUCCUUGUAGACGAUAUUAAUAACUCUAUCUUCACAGUCUUUACCAGAAGUUUCAUCUAGACUAUAAUAUAAUUGAAUGCUGAUAAUAUAAUCUAGUGCUGAUCACAAUGCAAUUGUUACUAACCUACUGAAGGCGAUUGAGUUGUUUUUGAUGACCGAAUAAGCAUUCGUGCGCGUCGAGAUAAUCGUGAUCUGAUUCCUGUUUGAUCACCUGAUGAAUAAUAUACACAGGAAAUGUUAUAAAUCGUAACAACUCGUACCAAAUUCAUUGGUUUAAAUUUUAUGGACGUUGUGAGUACCAGAGCUCGAGACUCCCAUGUCUAUGCCGUCGUCUGCUAUGUCUCUGUUAGCACCCCAAACUUCCAUAAUCCAAAUCUAAAAAGCAUAGGAGAAACUCUCAAAAAUGUAUCUCUCCUUCUUAUCCAACUUCUUCCUAGUCUUCUCAAUCAAACUCAGCAGAAAGUCAUAGUGAAGACCCAAAUGGAACUUCCGAACCCUGUCAAAAACCAUCAGCAACUUGAUGUACAUAUGCGGGAUAUUCACCUUCUCAACUCUCGCCAUCACCACACCCAUUAUAACGCACAAGUAGAUCAACCUCAACCUAUCAAGCCGAUUCCAGUUGUGAACUUCUUGUAGAUGCACCUUCCAGAUUAACUUUUGCUUAUAUUCCCACCUCUCUUUAGUAGCUUACUCCAAAAACCCCUCCGUCAUCUUUCCAUUUAACUACAUCACUGCUACUUCCCGCGAAAUCAUGAGGUCAGUCACAGCAUGGAACUCUUGAAGUGAAAACCGGAGAGGCGUCCUCGCAAAAAAAAAAACCACUUCUCAUGAAUGUUCGAGGUAAUCCGCUCCUUACACAAGAAGCUAUGCACCAGUUUCCCCAAAAAUUGAAGGACAUUUGACUGAAUAGCCAUGAUAUGUGUGAAACAUGAUCUCUCUUGUAAACAAACAUACAAAGAGAAAUCCGAAUGAAGAACACAAACACAUAGACACAUGCAAAAAAGAACCGGAUUGAGGAACAUGCAAAGAAUAAAGAGACAGCUUAGACAUAAUACAUAAUCAUAUAGGAUCCAAACAAAUCAAUCGAAGAGGUGGAGAGGCUGAGAGGCUGAGAGGCUGAGAGAAGCUCUAAAAUAGCCUUGUGUUCGUUGUGAGAGAGAGAGAGAGAGAGAGAGAGAGAGAGAGAGAGAGAGAGAGAGAGAGAGAGAGAGAGAGAGAGAGAGAGAGAGAGAACCAAACACAAUUAGGGUUACAUGCAAUUUUGGGGAUUUUUGUUCCCUUUUUGUUUUGAAUUUUUUUUUAUUUCUUUCGCCUUUCUAAUACAUUCUUUUAUUUUAUUUUUCAUUAAACCUUUUAAAUUCAAUUCAAAUUUUAAAUUUUAUUUAAUUUGAUUAAUGAAGAGUUAAUUUUUGGCACUAUGACAAAAAUUAUACUAUAGCGACAAUGUAAAAGUGGUACUAUAUACCAAGGAACAAAGAUGGCAAAAAACAAUUUCCAAUAACAUGAGAAGUGCAAAGACUUGGAAGGAGAUAACUUCGACGAUCAUAAGAACAAUCGAUCGAUGAAAGACUUGCAUCAUCGAUCGACGACGAAGCCACCCGCGAGUUAAUGAAAAAAUUAGAAGAUUGCAAGUUUCACAAAGUUCCAAUAUUUACAUUUUAAGUCCAUGGCCAGCUGUUAGGCUAUUUAUUAGAGUUUUGUAUUAUUUUAGGGGCAGACUUGCCUAGAGACUUUUUAGACCUAAUUUGGAGAGAAGCAAGAAGCCACCAUUGAAGAGAGAAAGCUUAGAAUUGAAGAGAUAUAUCUGAACUACAAAACAGAGAAGAUCUUGAACUCUCUUGCUUUCAUAUACUCUAUUGCUUACUCUUUAUUAUUCAUUUAUUUAAAUAUUAUUCAGACCAUCAUAACCAUGUGCUUUAUGAAUAUGGCUGAGUAGUGUUAGGUUUAGGGUUCUCAAUAGGUUAAUAAAUGUAUUACUGACUUAAACUAUUGCUAGGGUGUUUAAAAGAAUAGUUAUUUCAUCUAGUUUCUCUUAAGGCUAAGUUUAGGAUUGAUCACCCUUCAAACUUAGAUUUUAGGAUAAAUUAAAAACAAGCCAUCGCUUGACUCAAUACCUGAAAAUAACUAGCAUGAUCUAACUGACUAGAUACAUACGAGAGUUGGUCUAGUAAGUUAGAGAAUAUAAAUCAAACAUAUCCGUAAAGCUUUCUGGAAGAAGCAUCGAUCGACGCAACGAUAGUUCUGUCAAUCGAUAUUCUUUACGAAUCAUCUAUCUACACUUUCUCGCGAUUAACAUACGAGAGUUGAAAUCCAAGAUCCAGAUUAGAUAAUCUAUAUGAUUAUAUCUGAGUUUGAAUUCAAGAACAAUUAAUAUCAAUAAACUCCUAAAACCCCAAAUUAAGUUAUUUACUUAUAAUACCUGAGAAUAUACAUGAAUCUAGUUAUUCACCCAACUGUUAACAACCUCAAAUCAAACCAAUCGAGCAAUUGCCUUGCUCACCAAUUUAUUUACUGCUUUAAAACCUAUUAACCUAUUAAUCUAGACUUAUUUCAAAGACUAUAAAUCUAUUGUGUAAUCUUAAAGUCUCUGUGGAUUCGAUCCCUAAGUACUACAUCUGAACCUCUUAUUUGAGAGAAUAAUUCACUCCUUAAGAUAAUUUGAGUGAUAUCACUAUCUCAAGCAGCUCUCACAAUACUGAACUCAUUGGGAAGUUGACAAUAAAGCUAGGUAAAUCCUACGCUAAUGAUGAAUACAAUUGGAGACCGAGGAGCAUGAUUCUAUGGCUCCAGAAUUGAGAUCGAAAUACAAUCUAUUUCCAUGCUAUUAUAAGAGGAAGGCAGCUGUUAAUAAAUUCUCAGUUAUAGAGAAUUAAGUUCAUUGCGCUUCACGAAGAAGGACAAACAACAUACACAAUUGUAGGUGGUUGGCACUAUAUUAAGACGUUAAUUUCUACGGCUAUGAAUAACUAGCUUGCAAGCCCAGUCAUAAGAUCCAAUGAGCAGUCUUUGCUUUACAUUGGGACAAAUCCCCAGGCCGUAUUAGGCAAUAAAAAUUUGUUGGCCCUGUUGGGUAUGUAUCAUAUCCUCCCACAAGGCCCAUAGAAUAGCUGAUCUGGCUGAUAACCACUGAUCAGAGAUUCGGCUCGUCGGCUUAUGGACCAUCUCGACUCAAGACUGCUUUUAGCCGAUGGAAUGAGCGAUUAAAAGCAGUCGACCUGACGGCUUAAUACAAUGGUCCGAUCACUCGGCUCAACGAGUUAAAAGCCCAUCGAAGAAGGGCGAAUUACGUCACUGAAGGACGACUGGUCGACUAUAUAAAGGCAUGUAGGGGCAACGAAAAGAGGAUCCAAAAUCAACCACAUAUACUUUCGGCGGCUAGAACUAGGCUUUCAUUUCUCUCUCUCGCCGGCUUGUAUUUCCCGGCGAAUUAGCUUUCGCCGAUUUGCUUUCUACCACACAUUCCCUUAUUUUUAAACCGGCUAAACGCCCUUUGAAACGUCUUUGUUUUCUAAUAAAACGUCUUUGUUUCGACCACCGACGAGUUCUCAUCUUUUUUACUAGUUUCCGACCAAACUCGGUUCAAACAGGUUCCUUAGAGCAUGAGCAAUGGUAGUAUCUACCAUAGUCUAUAGUACUAAUAUAAUAAUAAAUGAAAUAAAAGUAAGAAAAAGCAAGAAUCGAUUGUUGCUGAAGGUAUUUCAAUGAAAACUUGAGAAACUAACUGUCACGUGUUAUUCUGUAAGUGGAAGAGCUAGUUUUAAAGUAAUUUUAAUUAUUACAUGACUAAUGAUGCUCUUAGUCUGAUAAUGUUCAGAAACUUAUAAUUCAGAAACCAUGACUAAUGAUGAUCUUAGUCUUAUAAAAAGAAAUUUAAAAUUUAAAAGCAAUAUUGUCAAACUAUAUUGAAAAAAAAACAUGUAUAAACUAUUUUUCAAAUACAAUUAUAUGUCAUUCUAUUUUAAUAAUUUUUUUGAUGACAUUCAUAAUUAAUUUAAUAUUUUACAAUUAUUCUAUAUAAAUAUGAAAAAUUUUGUUUCGAAAUGAAAAUCAAAAUUAAAAAUUUUCAUACCAUAUAUAUAUAUUUCAUGCAUAUACUUUUAAAAGAAUUAAUAUCUCACAAGUUUUUCAUUUCUAUGUUGGUAAAAUAUUUUCUAAAUACUUCAUAGAGAUAUUAUUAUCAGUAUUAGAAUGAAUAAUUAUUAUUAUUUUCGGCAUCUAAUAAUAAUAUUGCAUACUACUUACUUUUUUUUAUAAUAGUACUCCAUCCUUAAAUAUUGAUGUUUUAAAUAUUGAUGUUUUAGCAUUUUCACACAUACUAAUAAAAAGAUUUAAGUCCCAGGUCUUAGGUUAUAAUCACAAACAAUAUAAUUUCUUACAUAUUAUAGGAUGCAAAGUUAUCAGACGUUUCAGAGUACUGCAGACAGAACUCUUCGUUGUGGUCGUUUGCUGUGGAGAGAUUAUGUCCAUCGAGGAUGUCGUACAUGUAGAACCAUCCGUUGAUGUAAGUGUUUCGAGGAGUGCUUCAUCGUGGAAACAUUAUGCAUGGAAUUGUUCAUCAAUAUCACAUUUGUUGAAGACAGUUUAUCAUCAAAUGUAAUAGAAGUAGAUAUUUUAUGAUGAUGUAAUUGGUUAUUUAUCAUGUGUUAAAACAAAAAUUAAAUAUACAUUUCUUUCUAUUGAUUUUUAAUUUUCUGAAAGUUUUAUAUGUUUCUCAAUAAAAUUAUAUCACUCAUAUUUUGAAUUUUAAUUAAAGUUUAACUUUAAAAUAUAUUAAAUUAAGUCAAAACAACAAUCUUUGAAA
Brassica rapa (field mustard) is the source of this 7830-nucleotide long non-coding RNA. RefSeq lists it as uncharacterized. The record is from RefSeq and is a predicted model, not a curated record. Lineage: Eukaryota; Viridiplantae; Streptophyta; Magnoliopsida; Brassicales; Brassicaceae.